UGCAAGUCGAGCGAUGAGAUCCCUUCGGGGAUGGAUUAGCGGCGAACGGGUGAGGAACACGUGAGGAAUCUACCUUCAACACUGGGAUAACUCCGGGAAACCGGGGCUAAUACCGGAUACGAGAUCGGCAGGCAUCUGCUGAUCUGGAAAGUUUUUCGGUUGAAGAUGACCUCGUGGCCUAUCAGCUUGUUGGUGAGGUAAUGGCUCACCAAGGCGACGACGGGUAGCCGGCCUGAGAGGGCGACCGGCCACACUGGGACUGAGACACGGCCCAGACUCCUACGGGAGGCAGCAGUGGGGAAUAUUGGGCAAUGGAGGGAACUCUGACCCAGCGACGCCGCGUGCGGGAUGAAGGCCUUCGGGUUGUAAACCGCUUUCAGCAGGGAAGAAGCGAAAGUGACGGUACCUGCAGAAGAAGCACCGGCUAACUAUGUGCCAGCAGCCGCGGUAAUACAUAGGGUGCAAGCGUUGUCCGGAAUUAUUGGGCGUAAAGAGCUCGUAGGUGGUUCGUCACGUCGGAUGUGAAAAUCUGGGGCUUAACCCCAGACCUGCAUUCGAUACGGGCGAGCUAGAGUGUGGUAGGGGAGACUGGAAUUCCUGGUGUGGCGGUGGAAUGCGCAGAUAUCAGGAGGAACACCAAUGGCGAAGGCAGGUCUCUGGGCCAUUACUGACACUGAGGAGCGAAAGCGUGGGGAGCGAACAGGAUUAGAUACCCUGGUAGUCCA
RNAcentral lists this ribosomal RNA (725 nucleotides) under uncultured bacterium. RNAcentral's name for it is "bacterial SSU rRNA". It matches the Rfam family "Bacterial small subunit ribosomal RNA", at positions 56 to 797 of the family's 1533-position model. The record is from RNAcentral.